CUUUCCGGUUCCCCAGCGCCCACAGCACCGUACCCAGGCACAGCCCCUCCUCCUCAUGUCCUACACCCCAGUCCCAGCACCCCACGGCAAGGACCACCUCUGCUUUCUGUUUCCCAUUGCUUGCUUGGCCACAGAGAAAAUAGUUUCACUACAGAAAAUCAAUACAGUUUUCCAGAAAAUCGUGUUAAUAUGAAAAUGGUGUUGGAUUGUUCUUAGCUAUGACUGUCUUGAUCGCCAUUGAUUCAUGGCUAAUAUGUCUGAUAAGCUUUAAUAUUUCUAAUUGGUUUUCGUUAUACUCAGGGAGUAAGAGGCUUUUUCAACCUGCACACUUGUACUGCUACCUCCUGUUUGUGUCUCUGUGUGAAAAGAGAUGAUCCAGAAAAUAUUCCGUGUGUCAAAGUUAUGAUUUAGAAUAUUUUCAUCCUAAGGGCUAAGAAGGGUUACAGAUCUGCCGAUGUUGGAAUGUCAUGCCUGAAUACGGUUUGAUUGAGCAAUGAGAUAUUUUCCCAAGAUGCAUCCUGGUGUGAACAAGUGUUUCCAAAAAGCUUGCAGCCAUGUGGACGUCUGUUAAGAAGACAGUAAGUUGGUCAUGCAGCACCCAACUGGAGACAGCCCAAAUGAGGAGAUGCAACACCAGGAGUCCAGAACAGCGGUGCUCGAGCCAGCUCAGCCAGGAGGCAUGCUAAAAGCUUUAGGAAGCCACAUAGAGACAGAAUCAGCCAAAAGAGGAGAUUCCUCUGACUUCAGCAUCCCGUGGUACGUGCCAGACACUGGACAGCAAGUCACUUUGGAUGCUGCUUCCACUGCAGUGCUUGGAGAUCCCUAACUGGGACCUGGACCUCCUGCCAAAAGGUCAAGCUCAGCCCUCGGGGCCCCAACUGUACCCCAAACCUAUGGAGCUGCGCUGCCGGCUGGAGAGCUGCGGGCACUGCCAGGACUGCGAGGAACAGCACCCGUGUGGUUUACUGCUGUAUGGCAGCUCCAUCCGUCACACUGUCUGUUACUGCGUACAGCUGCCAGUUGUAACUAAGGCAGUAAGAGGAGGCUGUGUCAGCAUUACCGCUGGGGGUAGCACAGGGGCUUUUUCCUCACAGCAAGAAAAGAUUUCUGCAGGCAAUCACGGUAUUGUCUGAAAAACGUCUAAACAUCAAGAGUUCUGAGUAUAAGAGCAACUGGAUUUAAACACUGUUCCCAAGAGCAACCCUUACAGACUCCCAAAGAAGCAGAUUUACAACAAGGACUGGAGAACAACUCAGUUAUCCAGACUUCCUCUCCCAGCUUCUUCCAUGUACUUUCACACCAGUAACCAGGGGCCCAUUGUCAAAAGAGUUCCCUCUCUCCUCUUCCCACACAAACAAAGCUCGGGUGUCUGGCUGUGCUGCACUGCCCAGUGCCUGCUCCUGCCUCACACUGACAGCAUCCCAAGAUGUCUCUGCUGACAUCUGGACUUAGUUACUAUUGCACUGCAAUAUCAGAACGUGCACGAAUGAGUGACAAAGUAUUUCAAUGAGUACAAAGGUGCAUAAGUGGAAACUUAGAGAAAGAAGAAAGGUAGCAUUCAUGUGACUCUUCAACCAAAAACUAAAUGAAAAGCGUGCCCGCAAAGCCUUAGAAAAAUUGCAGCACAGACCAGAAAAAUAACAUUUUGCUUUGUUUACCAAACAUUUCAGAGUUAUCCAGGUACCAGGACCGCUCCCUUUGCAUAAAAAGCACAUUAGCAGGGAAGCUUGCUGCUACUGUGCUGUUGCAACACACACACUAAUCGGGCUGUCCAUCUUCCCCAGGAGCUGCUGCUUUGAAGGAAACUACACAAAGUGCUUAGGGAAUUUGCCAUUCAGCAGUUCCCUCAAGAUCUGCGUCCAUCUUUCACUGAUUAAUAUUGAAGCAUUAAUCAGAUGUUUCUACGUUUCCAUGCUCCCACCAGCUACACGUGUGCAAGCCAAGAGGUGGAGACAGCAAUUCUUCACUGGGAAUAUUGGUAAAACAAGGCUUGCAUUUAGGGGAUUCAGACUGGUAAAGACAGUUUCUUAAGCUGACAUUUAAGAAUCACUGACUUUCAAAUACCACAUUAGCAAUCAAGAAAUCAACAGUGUUUAGAAGAAAUGUAAUUAGCUCAGCAUGCUCUGCUUGAAACCAGUGCUGUAGCUAUCAGCUGCAACAAAUGCUAAAAUGCAGAAUUUGUUUUUCCAUUGAAGUACAUUACAAUUUACUUUAAUAAAGGCAUGAGAGCUUGAGA
Molecule: long non-coding RNA, 2236 nt
Filed under: Gallus gallus (chicken)
Lineage: Eukaryota; Metazoa; Chordata; Aves; Galliformes; Phasianidae
Description: lncRNA (ENSGALG00010011179.1)
Source: RNAcentral